UAUACAAGUGACCUUGAGGCAACAGAACUCC
Molecule: non-coding RNA, 31 nt
Filed under: Rattus norvegicus (Norway rat)
Lineage: Eukaryota; Metazoa; Chordata; Mammalia; Rodentia; Muridae
Source: RNAcentral